Molecule: RNA transcript, 3497 nt
Organism: Salvia splendens (bonfire salvia)
Lineage: Eukaryota; Viridiplantae; Streptophyta; Magnoliopsida; Lamiales; Lamiaceae
Gene name: putative late blight resistance protein homolog R1B-16
Exons: 2
Source: RefSeq, a predicted model, not a curated record
UUUAGAUAUUAGUAUUAGCUACUUCUUCAACUCACAGCUCUGACUUUUAAAUCUUGGCGUGUUUGCAUCAAAUUCCAAAUUAGGGGAAGAAUUGGUGAUUCCAAUCUCCACCCUGAACCCUCAAUCAUACAUCUGACAUGGCUCAUGAAGCUGUGGAAUCCCUGCAACAAACCUUACUCCAAUUCCUUCUACGUGACGAUGAUCGCAUCACUCCUCCUGUUAAACACCUAAUUAUAUCCAUCCACGACAAAGCUGUUGUGUUGCAGUUUAAUCUCAAACAUUUUCCAGAUAAAGAAACAAUAAGGGAGGUAGCAAAUACAGCUGAAAAGAUUAUUCAAUAUCUUUCCUCCUCAGAAUAUCUAUCAAAUCCAAGUGUCAGGCUUUCAGAUCAGUUGGGGGAAUUGGCUGAGGAGCUCGACUUAAUUGUUGGAGAUGUGAUCAACAACGUGAGUCAUUCUCCUGGUGUUAGUUCAUCAUCAGGAUCUGCACUCAAGAGUCAAGUUGAACAUCUGAGGAUUGCAACGGAGCUGAUUGUUAGAAAUUCAAAUUGGUUGAGAAAAAAGUCAGCUCCGAGUGAUUCACCAUCAAUACCUCCAUCGAGCAAAUAUGAUGUGGUUGAAGAUCUCCCGGUUGAGCUUAGUGCAAUAAAUACAAACAGGAUUAGGAGAUUAGCGACAAAAAUGAAAUCAACUGGCAGAGCAGUAGCAGAUGAAGAGGAUAACAGUGAUUCCACAUCAAUCUCGACCAAAGAUGUUGCAGUUGGUUUUGAUGACGAUCUACGUGAUUCUACUACUGCUGCAUCAUCAUCAAGACCUGCAUCCACAACCAAAUAUUUUGUGGCUGACGAUCCGAGCAGAGAUGAUGUGUUUGGUUUUGAUGAAGAUAUACUGCGGAUGAUGCACCGAAUAACUGGUUCAUCAUCCUAUGACAACCUACAAAUCCUCCCUAUUGUUGGAAUGGGAGGCAUUGGUAAGUCCACACUUGCUAGACUUAUUUAUAAUGAUCCAGUGAUCAUAAAGCAUUUUCAUAUUCGAGCUUGGGUCACAGUAUCACAAGAUUAUUGUAUACCAAGUAUUGUCUCACAAUUACUAGCUUCGCUUAAAGGGAAAGUAGAUCCAGUUGGAAAGGAUUCAUUGAUAGUAAUCGAUGCAGAGAAGCUUCAAAUUUACAAAAUCUUAUCGGGGAGGAGGUAUCUCAUUGUAAUAGACGACAUUUGGAGUGUGGAAGCUUGGAAUCGCAUACGGUGGCUAUUUCCAAACAAAAAUAAUGAAAGCCGGAUCAUAUUAACCACAAGGCUAAUGGAUGUGGCUACUUAUGCUGCCGAUUCGUGGUUCAUUCAUAUGAUGAGUUUCUUGGAUGACAAACAAAGAUGGAGAUUGUUCCAGAACAAGGUUUUCGGAGAUCAAGAUUGUCCUGAUGAGCUACGUAGUGUUGGGGAAAAAAUAGUAAAAGGAUGUGGAGGACUGCCCCUCUCCAUUGUUACUGUGGCUGGACUUUUAUCCAGGAUUCCUAGAACUCCAAAGUUGUGGCACCAAAUUGAUGUAAAUGAUGGGCAGUUGGGAUCAAUAUUAUCUUUGAGCUACAACAACUUGACUCGACAGUUGAGGAAGUGUUUCUUGUAUAUUGCAGGCUUCCCUCAAGAUUAUGACAUCAACGCCUCUGACCUCAUCAAACUUUGGGUAGCUGAGGGGUUUUUGGAAUGUCGAAAUGAAUCUAAAAGUGUAGAAGUGGUGGCAGAGAGGUGCUUGGAGGAUCUGAUCAAGCAAAGUCUAGUUUUGGUCACUAGCCUGAAAAGUGAUGGCAAAAUCAAAAGUUGCAGGCUGCAUAGCAUGGUACGGGAUUUUUGUGUGAGACAGGCCGGGCAAGAGAAGGUCCUUCUUUCUGCUAUGGACUUCUUCCCUAAUCUUAUCUUGAGAAGGCAUUUUCUUCCACAAGUCCUCCAAAAUCAUCACCGUGUAAGUGUUAGUUGGCAUGAUCUACAUCUUAAAGACUCUACGCAUAGCUCAUGCACCAGUUCUAUUAUAUGCAUCCCGCAGAGAGGGUAUACGCCCAAAGGAUCUGUAGAGAACUUUACCUCACUGAGGGUUCUUCACGUUUUACGUAGAAAAAACUAUCAUUCAUAUUGGGAGCUUGGUCAAGUGUUUGAAUUGAUUAAUCUCACUCACCUUUCUUCCAACAUUCCCGAUGGUAUUGUCCCUCCAGCUAUAGCAAAGCUUCAAAAUCUGCAGACUUUAAUUAUUUAUAGAUCUGAUGUUCGUUUGCCUGUGGAGAUUUGGAGUUUGAGGAAGUUGAGGCAUCUUAUGGCCUUCUCAUUUCAUCCUUUACCCCUUCCUGAGGGUGCAACUCUUUCUCUACAAUACUUACAAACGCUUUCUUUGGCGACAAACUUUGUAUGUUGUGGAAGGAUGGUGAGAAUGAUCAGAAACAUAAAAAAGUUGGGAAUACGCUACUCUGAAGAGAAGUUUGGUGUAUAUUACCAUCUUGACAAUCUUAUACAUUUGCUUCAACUUGAGAAGCUGAAAAUGGAGAUGCAUAGCUCAUCCGUUCCACGUCUGAAUCCUAUUUUUCCUCUGUCACUGAAGAAGUUGGAAGUGAGUGGCGGGUGGAUUUCAUGGAGAGAUAUGACAAUUGUUGGUUUGUUGCCUAAUCUUCAAGUGUUGAAACUAAAGAACUAUGCUUGCUAUGGAGAAAAAUGGGAAACCACCGAGGGGGGAUUUCGUAUGUUGAUACAUCUGCUUAUUGAUGAAUCAAAUCUCAAGUUCUGGAGAACUAAAUGGACUCACUUACCAAGGCUUCAGUGCCUAAUGAUUCAUCGUUGUCCAUACUUGGAUGAGAUUCCAAAUGAUAUUGCAGAUAUUCUAACACUUAAACAGAUUGAGAUAGAUGAUCAUAACCAAUCUCUUUUGUACUCGGCCAAAAAUAUACAAAAGGAACGUCAGGAAAAUUGGAGGAAUGAAGUCCUCAAAGUUGUUGUGAAGCGUACUUGAUUCUGUUUCAAGCUUGACAAUGUGUCUCAUAUCAGGUAAAGAAUUCAUAAAAAGUUGCAAGGUUUAACAUCAUUCAAAAAAACGCAGAGCUUUGCGAAUGUGAGAUACUCUACCGACGAAAGAGGUAGAGAACUAAAGAUGCAAUGGUUGGUGGUGUUUGUUUUUGUGUGUGGAUUUCUCCCCCUUCACUAAGAAAAUACCGUAGCUCGCAAACAAGUAUGAAUUGAGGGGAACUUUGAAAUGUUCAGUUUUGAUCCAUACAGAGAUCAAUAGUAUGCCACCCUAAAGUAAGUUGUGUCUGUUCUAUUAAUUGAAAUCAAAAGUUGCAGGCUGCAUUGCAUAGUAUUAUCCGGGGUGUGACUUUUUUACCAAGAUUUGUUUUAUUUUGCUUAUUUUUCACUCAUAGUAUAAAAAGACAUGUUAGGGUGUUUCCAUAGUAGCUUUGAAUGAUAUUGUAAGAACAAAGACUCAAAUUUGAGCAACUCUUCAUCUUUGAAGUUUUUUCUAAAA